Small nucleolar RNA from Nycticebus coucang (slow loris), 125 nucleotides. RefSeq annotates it as small nucleolar RNA SNORA24. Lineage: Eukaryota; Metazoa; Chordata; Mammalia; Primates; Lorisidae. The record is from RefSeq and is a predicted model, not a curated record. The transcript has a single exon.
CUUUAUGUAUCUUUGGGACCUGUCAACUGUGGCAUCUCCCUUGCUAUACCUGGACAAGCAUAUUCUUGUUUAUUGCCUGUCACCAUUUAACUGGUAUCAGAUUCUGACUUGUACAAGUAACAUCC